GAGGAAAAGAAACUAACAAGGAUUCCCCUAGUAACGGCGAGUGAAGCGGGAAGAGCUCAAAUUUGUAAUCUGGCACUUUCAGUGUCCGAGUUGUAAUCUCGAGAAGUGUUUUCCGCGCCGGACCGCAUACAAGUCUGUUGGAAUACAGCGUCAUAGUGGUGAGAACCCCGUAACUGAUGCGGAUGCCCGGUGCUUUGUGAUACACUUUCGAAGAGUCGAGUUGUUUGGGAAUGCAGCUCAAAUUGGGUGGUAAAUUCCAUCUAAAGCUAAAUAUUGGCGAGAGACCGAUAGCGAACAAGUACCGUGAGGGAAAGAUGAAAAGCACUUUGGAAAGAGAGUUAACAGUACGUGAAAUUGUUGGAAGGGAAACGCAUGAGGUCAGACU
This 385-nucleotide ribosomal RNA is filed under the name Phenoliferia glacialis. RNAcentral describes it as "partial large subunit ribosomal RNA". It matches the Rfam family "Eukaryotic large subunit ribosomal RNA", at positions 53 to 435 of the family's 3401-position model. The record is from RNAcentral. Lineage: Eukaryota; Fungi; Basidiomycota; Microbotryomycetes; Kriegeriales; Kriegeriaceae.